GCCUGGCUGGCUCAGUUGGUGGAGCAUGUGAUUCUUGAUAUCUAGGUUGUAAGUUCGAGUCCUAUGUUGGGUG
Molecule: transfer RNA, 73 nt
Filed under: Canis lupus familiaris (dog)
Lineage: Eukaryota; Metazoa; Chordata; Mammalia; Carnivora; Canidae
Also listed under: 3 other names
Rfam family: tRNA
About the family: Transfer RNA (tRNA) molecules are approximately 80 nucleotides in length.
Source: Rfam by way of RNAcentral